Long non-coding RNA from Saccostrea cuccullata (small rock oyster), 1145 nucleotides. RefSeq lists it as uncharacterized. The record is from RefSeq and is a predicted model, not a curated record. NCBI's taxonomy places the organism in Eukaryota, Metazoa, Mollusca, Bivalvia, Ostreida, Ostreidae. The transcript has 6 exons.
UCACAUUUAAUGCAAAAUACGUCGAGAAUAAUAUAGUUUAAUUGAGAAAAUUAUACGUUUCGUUUAAGAAUAUCGACAUGUUAAAGUAAAUAUGCUUAUACUUAAAGUUUAAGUACAUUUUUGGUAUUUUCAAUAUGUCAUAAAUAAUUCUUUAUACCUAAUGUAAACUUAUGUUGAAACAUUUUUGAAAAAAAAACAUUUAGGCACCCUAUUAAUUUAAUUUAUUCAUUUCUCAUUUUUAUUUAUUUAACCCUUAUGUACAUUUUUUCAAAACUGUGGAAUAUAACUUAGUUUUUUUUCUCUAUGAUCGACUACUACUGUAGUACAAUUACAUCGGGAUCGAAGUCGGGCUCGAAAAGCAAUUAAUUUAAAAACAACACACCGCGCCGAAAUUCAAUUUCUUGGAGAGUUCCACGCAGCCAUGUUGAACUUGAUCAUGAUGUUGUACGGGGCGAAAGAGAGUGACACGAAAAGGAGAAGCAUGAUUAAGUUUGGAUGUAGUUUCUGUUUUAACAGAAGAUGAAGACAUUUACGACCCUGUUUAGCGUUGCAGUGGACUGUCCCUGAGACGAUUCCCCACAUCGCCGGCUAUGUAGACAGCAUGUGAAAAUGAAAUUGUGCCAGAAAAGUUUGAAGUAGCUAUGGGAAUGACCAACAUUGAACUUGCUGAGCCUUCCUUCUGAAAGUGACUUGACCAGAUAUUUGGCUACCCAGUAUGAGUAUCUUUCUGCUACAUGAAAUAAAAUAUCGUGGAGGAACACAAAGGAAAGGGCUGUGCAUCUCAACAUAUUCAAGGUCAAGCAGCUUUUUACCAUAUCCAUAGUAUCUUGCUGCUAAAUGAAAGAAUUAAUGUGGAGGAGCAGAGAAAAGGGCACUACAACAUGUUCAAGGUCAAGCAGAAAUUAGGAGCUAAAUGUGCUUCUCCAGAGCUGAAAACUUCUUGGCAUGAAGAGAAGAAAAAGAAGAAGAAGCAGUUUUAAAUAUUGAUUACGUCUUCAUAGUACAAAAAAUGAUUCUAAAGAUAAUACUAUCUAUGAAAUUAGAAAACUGAAGUUGCGUUCUGAUGAAUGUGAGAAAGUCUUCAAAGAACAGGACACCAAAUGUGCAACUCUCAAAUCAAAGCACUCUAAAAGGCAGAGCAUAAG